AUUGAACGCUGGCGGCAUGCUUUACACAUGCAAGUCGAACGGCAGCGCGGUCUUCGGCCUGUCUUCGAGUGGCGAACGGGUGAGUAAUACAGCGGAACGUGCCCAUCUGUUGGGUCUAGCUCGGCGAAAGCGGGAUUAAUACCGCAUACGACCAGAGGGUGAAAGCGGGGGAUCUUCGGACCUUCCGCUAUUGGAGCGUCCGAUGGCAGAUUAGCUAGUUGGUGGGGUAAAGGCCUACCAAGGCGACGAUCCGUAGCUGGUCUGUGAGGACGAUCAGCCACACUGGGACUGAGACACGGCCCAGACUCCUACGGGAGGCAGCAGUGGGGAAUUUUGGACAAUGGGCGAAAGCCUGAUCCAGCAAUGCCGCGUGUGUGAUGAAGGCCUUCGGGUUGUAAAGCACUUUUGGCGGGAACGAAAAGCACUGUGCUAAUACCACGGUUCGAUGACGGUACCCGAAGAAUAAGCACCGGCUAACUACGUG
Molecule: ribosomal RNA, 484 nt
Filed under: uncultured bacterium
Lineage: Bacteria
Description: partial 16S ribosomal RNA
Rfam family: Bacterial small subunit ribosomal RNA
Source: RNAcentral